UAGAGUUUGAUCAUGGCUCAGAUUGAACGCUGGCGGCAGGCCUAACACAUGCAAGUCGAGCGGUAACAGGAAUUAGCUUGCUAAUUCGCUGACGAGCGGCGGACGGGUGAGUAAUGCCUGGGAAUAUGCCUUAGUGUGGGGGAUAACUAUUGGAAACGAUAGCUAAUACCGCAUAAUGUCUUCGGACCAAAGAGGGGGAUCUUCGGACCUCUCGCGCUAAGAUUAGCCCAGGUGAGAUUAGCUUGUUGGUGAGGUAAGAGAUCACCAAGGCGACGAUCUCUAGCUGGUCUGAGAGGAUGAUCAGCCACACUGGAACUGAGACACGGUCCAGACUCCUACGGGAGGCAGCAGUGGGGAAUAUUGCACAAUGGGCGAAAGCCUGAUGCAGCCAUGCCGCGUGUAUGAAGAAGGCCUUCGGGUUGUAAAGUACUUUCAGUCGUGAGGAAGGGUGUGUAGUUAAUAGCUGCACAUCUUAACGUUAGCGACAGAAGAAGCACCGGCUAACUCCGUGCCAGCAGCCGCGGUAAUACGGAGGGUGCGAGCGUUAAUCGGAAUUACUGGGCGUAAAGCGCAUGCAGGUGGUUCAUUAAGUCAGAUGUGAAAUCCCGGGGCUCAACCUCGGAACCGCAUUUGAAACUGGUGAACUAGAGUGCUGUAGAGGGGGGUAGAAUUUCA
RNAcentral lists this ribosomal RNA (675 nucleotides) under uncultured Vibrionaceae bacterium. RNAcentral describes it as "bacterial SSU rRNA". It matches the Rfam family "Bacterial small subunit ribosomal RNA", at positions 1 to 671 of the family's 1533-position model. Lineage: Bacteria; Pseudomonadati; Pseudomonadota; Gammaproteobacteria; Vibrionales; Vibrionaceae. The record is from RNAcentral.